UCACCCAUCCCUUUCCCUCAACCUUACCUUAGCCCAAACACAUAGAAAAACGUAGGCUCUACAUAAUCCUCCACUCUGCACGUCUACUCUCUCUCUCCCCUGCUCUUUAUUUUCUCAAUACCUUUUGAUGUCCUUCUAGUCCUCCCUCACUAUUCUCAUCCUCUCCUAGUCUCUCCAUCUGGAACAGUUUGUGCAUAUAUUAUGAAGACAUUUUGUGAUAUUUUGGUUCGUUUUGGUCUUUGUUAAGGGUUUUGUUAAUCUGUUCGUGCACACAAAAUGUUUUGAGAAGCAAGCCGAAGUUCGAUAGCCGAAGUCUACACCCCUUCGUUGGCGAUUGGUCAACUGUAGGGGUGACGCGAGUUUCUUCUUCUCGAUUUAGUCCGAAAACUCAGUGUGGAUUCAACAUGGCGAACGGCAACUUCAAGCGUUGCUUAGCCAAGGAGGUACAGAAGUAAGCAAGACGGAAAGCAACAUGCCAUCUUCACCAGAGAAUGAGGCACGCACAAACCAGUGAAUGGGGACAGCACCAGGUUUUGUUCUCUGCUCCCCAGCAUGGCCUCUUCACCGGCCCCCAGCACUGACUGGUCAUUAACCCCCAGCCCAUCUCUCGCACUGAGCUGCUGUGCAGAAUGGAAAACCAUCUCUAUGAAGGACCUGGGAAGCCCUAUCCUGGGCCCACCUCCAAUACCUACUCCACUGGCUUGCUCCUCACCAAUGCCACAGAGCAGCAGCAGUAGUAGCAGGACUGUGAGAAGAAGGGAGAAAUGAGCUGCAGACUCAACCCUUGACACAUCACUCACAAAGGCGUUGCAAAGACCGAUCUCAAGAUCUGGAGAACGUCAUGCAUUGAGCAACCCAGAGGGCCCUGGCACCUAUAGCUGAUUUCAUGGAUGAACUAUUGCCAAAAUUCUGGUUGGAAUUCGAUCACCAGCUGCAUGACUUCAAGAAGACAUGGAUCGAACGACUGGGAUCACAGUGAAAUUAAAAACUUGUUCUUGUUGUUCAGACAUCUCAGGAGUCAGACCCUCGACAAUCUUAUUCCAUAGACACUUUUGUUGUUUGCAUGUCUGUUUUUCACAGACAAAUUUGUACUAUUCUACAAAUAAUUGCAUUUGUCUGACACUUUAAUGAUAUAUCAUUGAUGUGUUGUUUACAUGUCUGUUCUUAGCAGACACUGUUGUAUUGUGGUUUACUUUCAGAGCCCAGAUGCAAGAAUAAGGUUAAUUUUUUUUGUGUGCUGAAAAAGCUCUGUUUCUUCAUGUCGAUACAAGGUGUUUCAAUGCAUUCUAUUUGAUAAUCAAGUACUGCCAAUGUUGAGAAGAGCUGUGCGCUGCAGACCUUACAGGCUAUAUUUUGUGUGGCGUAGUUCAAUCUAAUCUAAAUGAAUGCACACAGACAUCAUAAACAUCUGGUUUCAUUUCAUUAACAAGAUUAAAACUACAUUUUAGUACAAAGUACUUUGGUUCACAGUGCACACAAAGAAUGCGUGCCUCCAAGGGCUGUGUGUGUGUGAGCAGUCCAAACAAAGUCCUAUUCUGCAUGAUUGGCUGGUCAUGGGUUGAGUUGUCCUCUCCUAACCAUGUCUUUUUGCCAUUGCACACAUGCGGGGGGGAGACGACAUCCCUGAGCGUGUUUCUUGUUUCGCUUGCAAGCCGUCUCGCCCUGGCACGAAAGAGUCUGCCUGGCUCUUGGAAAUUGUUGUCCCCUGCCACAACCCACUUCCACUCUCCAGGUUGGUAGUUGCUAGAAGGGAGGGGAGUGUCCCCAAAAGCGGGAGACACUUAUCUUGUGUUCGGUUCAUGAGCUUCAUCUGUGGAGGACAGGUAGUUGUGGAAGGCCAGACAAGCCUUCAGAAUGUCCUUAACCUUUUCAGGGGUACGCUCGAUUAGGCGAACAAGAGUCCUCAUCCUUGCAGCCAUGAUGCCGAAUGCAUUCUCUAUGACAACGAGAGUGGCGGUAGUUGUAGGUACGCCCAGGUUCAUUGAGAUGGACACCUGUGAAUGAGAGAUAAUAAGAAUAUAUGUUAGAUAUAAAAUAUAGCCUAUUUGGUAAAAAAAAUUAAAUAUUUUUUUUCCAGGAACCAUAUUCCAAAAGCCUUAAUAAAAUGGCAUUUCUCAUAUAGAUGUGCAUACAUGUAUGCAGUAACAAAGGGAAUUAGAAAGAAAAAUUGAUUCCAACAUUCUAUUAUCAACAUACCUGGAUAAGGGCGACUCAGUUUCUCAUGUAGGGGGAAAGCUGCAUCUCCCAGAAAAACAUGGACUUGGUGUUGUGGUGCCUAGCAGGACAGCUGGUGGUGGUAAAUCAAGAGUCUUCUGCAGCAGUUUGGACCCAAAAUAACUAUCUUGAAACACUCAACCCUUGACCCCAAAGAACUCUCUUGAAACUCUCAACCCUUGACCCCAAAGAACUCUCUUGAAACUCUCAACCCUUGACCCCAAAGAACUCUCUUGAAACUCUCAACCCUUGACCCCAAAGAACUCUCUUGAAACUCUCAACCCUUGCUCUCUCGGCCGUAUGUCCCUACAUCCGUCUCUGUAUCUUUCCUAUUAUAUGUCUUGCUAGGUAAAACAAAUCUAGUAGAUCCCGGGCAAGAGGUGAGGGAGAGGGUGAGGUA
Molecule: long non-coding RNA, 2614 nt
Organism: Salvelinus fontinalis (brook trout)
Lineage: Eukaryota; Metazoa; Chordata; Actinopteri; Salmoniformes; Salmonidae
Exons: 3
Source: RefSeq, a predicted model, not a curated record